AACGAACGCUGGCGGCAGGCCUAACACAUGCAAGUCGAACGCCGUAGCAAUACGGAGUGGCAGACGGGUGAGUAACGCGUGGGAACCUACCUUACGGUCGGGAAUAGCUCAGGGAAACUUGGGGUAAUACCGGAUACGCCCUUACGGGGAAAGAUUUAUCGCCGUUAGAUGGGCCCGCGUAGGAUUAGGUAGUUGGUGAGGUAAUGGCUUACCAAGGCGACGAUCCUUAGCUGGUCUGAGAGGAUGAUCAGCCACACUGGGACUGGGACACGGCCCAGACUCCUACGGGAGGCAGCAGUGGGGAAUAUUGGACAAUGGGCGCAAGCCUGAUCCAGCCAUGCCGCGUGAGUGACGAAGGCCUUAGGGUUGUAAAGCUCUUUUGGCGGGGGAGAUAAUGACGGUACCCGCAGAAUAAGCUCCGGCUAACUUCGUGCCAGCCGCCGCUGUAA
RNAcentral lists this ribosomal RNA (449 nucleotides) under uncultured bacterium. Its description in RNAcentral is "partial 16S ribosomal RNA". It matches the Rfam family "Bacterial small subunit ribosomal RNA", at positions 29 to 523 of the family's 1533-position model. The record is from RNAcentral.